Molecule: long non-coding RNA, 215 nt
Filed under: Mytilus galloprovincialis (Mediterranean mussel)
Lineage: Eukaryota; Metazoa; Mollusca; Bivalvia; Mytilida; Mytilidae
Source: RNAcentral
AAAAGCCAGUAAAUAAUCUUAAACAGGUAAUUAAAACAAAUAAACUGAUAGACAUUUGGAGGCUAUUAAAUAAAACCAAAAAACAAUACACUUGGAAAAGAAAAAAAUUCUACAAAUGAGGCAAGUAGAAUUGACUUUUUUAUAAUAAGUUCACAAGUACGCAUGCUGACAGUAUCAGCUGACAUCAGACCAGCUCAAAUUUCAAGUACAGACCA